GACGAACGCUGGCGGCGUGCCUAAUACAUGCAAGUAGGACGCAGUUGCGAACGUGUGAGUAACGCGUAGGUAACUACCUAUUAGAGGGGGCUAACUAUUGGAACCAAUAGCUAAUACCGCCUACUAGUCGAUUUACCUGGGUGGUAGUAGCUAGUAGGUAGGGUAAUGGCCUACCUAGUCAACGAUACAUAGCCGACCUGGUAGGGUGGUCCGCCACCCUGGGACUGAGACACGGCCCAGACUCCGACGGGAGGCCGCAGUAGGGAAUCUUCGGCAAUGGGGGGCAACCUGACCGAGCAACGCCGCGGGAGUGAAGAAGGUUUUCGGGUCGUAAAGCUCUGUUGUUAAGGAAGCGGUACCUAACCAGAAAGGGACGGCUAACUACGUGCCAGCAGCCGCGGUAAUAC
Molecule: ribosomal RNA, 407 nt
Filed under: uncultured bacterium
Lineage: Bacteria
Description: partial 16S ribosomal RNA
Rfam family: Bacterial small subunit ribosomal RNA
Source: RNAcentral